GCCUCCCCAUUCAGGACCUUCUGUUAACAAAGCUCAAUACUGGGACAGCUGGCAAAAGAGAAAUGUUUACAGACUCUUGCUCCAACAUCACAAAGCAGGUCACAGAAAAGCAAAGUCGAGGCUGAGAAACGAGUCACUCUAGAGAUGGUCUCCCUAGCUUCCUGUGAAGAAGUGGCCAUGCUAGCAUGGUACCCACCUGGCACGGGGCUCAGGGUGGUGUCCAGGAUCUGAGAGCGGUUGGCAUCCAACAGCGGCAACAAGCCAGGAUCCUCAGUCCUACAACCGAAAGGACUGUGGCCACUCUGAGUAAGCCUGGAAGUGAAUUCUUCCCCAGUUGGCCUCCAGACGUUGACGCCACUUAGCCAACACUGUGAUCACAGCUUUUGGAGACCCUAAGCCAAGAACGUGGAAUGUGUGGAUGUGGAGUUCACAGUUACUUGGCUUCACUAAAAUAUAACAAAUAUUAAAUAAACAUUAAAAAGUGAAAGUGUGAUCUUUAUCCCCAAGAAGUCUGUGAAAUGCUCUUGCAUGCUCUCUAACGCCAUCACCAAGUGCGGGCAGGAAAGUCGCCAGGGCCCGUUCAGUCUCGAGAACAACAGCAGGUGAGACCUUCCUUUUCUUGGGACAAUAUGCCACACAAAUGCGAUGCUGGACAAAAAGUGGGCAUUCUGAAUCAAUGCACUUUUUAUACUUAAAAAGGAAAAAGCAAAAAAAACACAGAUUCACUUCUCCCGGAAGACAGGAUAAAGACAAGUAAACACUGAGAUUUUCAGACAAAAAGGUGCUGUGGAAGUGCAGAACGUUAUUAAUUAACAUAGUUGUAAAAUUUCAGGUUCCAAGGAGAGAAAAAUUUUGGAAGCAAUUAUAAAAGUCAUUAUAUAACAUUUAGAUUAAAUAAACAGUUCUCUUAAGGAAAACAAAACACUGAAUUUUCCUUUGAUUUUCCAAAUAUGAGUAAUCCAAUUCGCUAGCUCUCACCUGGCACUCAGUGGUAUUGAAAAACUUGCAGAUGACCCAGUAAACACAGAGCUCCUAACAAUGUCACCCCAAUCAAAUGUAUUGCAUUAAAUCAAACAUAAUUGCUCCCCGUGUCAUAACAGAAUAACAUAAAUGUCACAGAGGCAGAGGCAAAGGACAUGCAUUCACUUCCUCUUGACUUAAAAAGUGAAUAAAUUCUAAAUAAUAAAGCAACUUGUGAGCCAGUGCUUUCCCACAAGUUAUUCUGGGGAGAACAGGCAUGUAUGAGAGUGAUGGGUGUUUGUAUUUAAUUCUUUUUUUACUUUUUAAGAAUUGGAAGUUCUGGAGCGCCUGGGUGGCUCAGUCGGUUAAGCGUCCGACUUCGGCCCAGGUCAUGA
This is a long non-coding RNA of Prionailurus viverrinus (fishing cat), 1355 nucleotides long. RefSeq lists it as uncharacterized. NCBI's taxonomy places the organism in Eukaryota, Metazoa, Chordata, Mammalia, Carnivora, Felidae. The record is from RefSeq and is a predicted model, not a curated record. The transcript has 3 exons.